UGCAAACGAAUAGAUCCACUUGUUAACGCAUGAAUACAAAAAAAUAAAAGCAAAAUGUUGAUGGCAGUUUAUAAAACAUCAAAAAAAAUCUUUUAAGACACUGUUCAAAUGACAAAAAUAAACUUACCGGAUAAGGGUCACGGCAAACAAUAACACAAAAUAAAAACGAAUUUCCAAGACAUUUAACCGACAUAACACACAGGACUUACCAAUCCACAGUCGUUACAAUAACGUAACAUCACAAAUGUGCGUUGAAUUGGCACAUGGACGACUUCGGGAACAAAAUUCACGUACAUCAAAUGUUUACACCCAUGCGCUUUCGUCAAGAUAUGCGUGCAACAUUUUCUUGUCCAAAAUGGCGGCAAUUGCAAUCAUGACCCUGCUGCAAUCGCAUAUCAAUCAUCGUAACCAUAGCUACUAGACAUAUAGAAAGAAGCCCUGCCUAUGCUAGUUAGUCCGGUAGAAAUAGACCAAAACAUCGGGCUAGGUUUGCAAUAAUUCGCAUAGAGCUAAAAAUUGGUACAGGGCUUAAGUUCAUCAUUAUAAAUAAUGUGUCAAAAGUCCCCAUUGAUCCCAUCCAUGCCUGCUAAAAAAGUUAUUCAAAGUCAAAGGUAAAAAAAACGAUUUUUUGCAUUUUUUUCGUAAACGGUAACUAUUAUCGCAAAAACUGGUGAAAUAAAUGUUGUAGAUCAGAAAAUUAUCUAUAAAAAAGAAUUCCUUACUUUUUUUUGUCCGAGUAACCAUUUUAGAGAUAUCUCCAAUUUAAACAUCGUAAAUACUAAUAUACACGUAUAAGCUGCACGUCUACACUAAUACGCCGCCUACAUACGUCAUUAAAGAUGUAAUUUAAAUGAAAAUAUUUAUUCAUAGAAUUUAUACAUACAAAUUUUACGAUUUCAAACCCAUACCAAAUGAAUAUACACUUAAGAGAAACUCAGUCCCUAAGUUCAUUCUCCCGUAUAUCCUUGAGCAGCACCUGCGUGUAUCUCUGUUAUUCAAAUGACGACGGUCCUAUACCUGUUUUUUUUUGUCAACGAUCUAUGGGAAGUCAGCCGGUCGACUGUUUCUAUAUACUUUCAGUAUUCAAUGUUUUUUUGCAGCGAAUACACGUUCUCGUUGUUAAUAUCUCUUAUAAAAUUUUGUACUGUUCAAUAAUUCUUGAAAAAUGUCGCAGUUUUACUUUGUUUGUAGUAAACCUUUAGCUAAAAGUGAAAUUAUUGUUGUUGAUCGUGGAAUGAAGACUGUAAUUGAUGCAAAUGUUGAGAGAAAUUAUGGAUACCUUGAUUUUCUGACAGAAAAUAAAUCUGUGACUAUCCAUACUCAGUGUCGUAAACCAUAUACUCGAAAGAGUUCUAUUGCUGCUGCAAUCAAAAGACAGAACGAAAUGGAACAAGCCGGUAUAUCUGGAAUAAGUCCACCUCGUACUAGAGCGCGGCUGAGUAGUGUCAUGUAGGUGGUGUCAAAGCAAUCAGGAUUUCCAUAAUAAAUUUGAUGGAGUUGAGAAUGCAUAAGCUUAUAGAAAUGCCGUAAUCUUGAACAAUACAUGAGACUAUAGAAACGAAAGUUUCUGUCAAUUUUAUCAGCAAGGACCAAUCUUGGGAGGAGGUACCAGUAUAGCUAGAAAGCUCAGUUACUGUUUUUCUGAAGCCUCUUGUUAAUUGCAAAGUUGACAUAUUUGGGGUGGUGUAUCAUCUGAGAAACCCCUGGCAUGUUGGCACUACCUUUUGGCGGUACAAAGACCUUUGUGAAGAGUUCAACUUGACCAAUUUGAUGAGCUUUGUCAAUUUGAAUGGAUAGAGGGCUUGAAAGAAUACUGCUGCUUUAUCAUCGUUAUGCAUCAGAUGGAUGCUGUUGAUACCAAGUUCGCCGUGAAGAAAUUGUGAGGAAACUUUAUUAUUUGACCGCCAGGGAGAAACUUUUACGUAUUUAGGGUGUACAGUUCUGGAAACUUCAUUGUACAGCUUCAGGCAAGAUUACCUCUGCAGAAGAAUUGAUUAUUGCUAUUCCUAAUCACAAAAAUCCAAGAGAAAGCAACAAUAUUAGAGGAAAGAACUUCAAAAUAUUACUGAGAAAGCCAAAAGGUGCAGUUUAUGUUCCUUAUAAAUUAAUUAGAACAUCUAUGCAAAGAUGGAGGCGGGCAACAACGCCAAAUGUGCCAGGGAGCCUAGAGGGAUUGGCAGAAAUUUUACAAACAGGCGAGUGGCCU
Molecule: long non-coding RNA, 2206 nt
Organism: Cylas formicarius (sweet potato weevil)
Lineage: Eukaryota; Metazoa; Arthropoda; Insecta; Coleoptera; Brentidae
Exons: 5
Source: RefSeq, a predicted model, not a curated record